RNAcentral lists this ribosomal RNA (1335 nucleotides) under Pseudomonas aeruginosa. Its description in RNAcentral is "bacterial LSU rRNA". It matches the Rfam family "Bacterial large subunit ribosomal RNA", at positions 1611 to 2925 of the family's 2925-position model. The record is from RNAcentral. Lineage: Bacteria; Pseudomonadati; Pseudomonadota; Gammaproteobacteria; Pseudomonadales; Pseudomonadaceae.
AGAAAAGCUUCUAAGCUUCAGGUAACCAGGAACCGUACCCCAAACCGACACAGGUGGUCGGGUAGAGAAUACCAAGGCGCUUGAGAGAACUCGGGUGAAGGAACUAGGCAAAAUGGCACCGUAACUUCGGGAGAAGGUGCGCCGGCUAGGGUGAAGGAUUUACUCCGUAAGCUCUGGCUGGUCGAAGAUACCAGGCCGCUGCGACUGUUUAUUAAAAACACAGCACUCUGCAAACACGAAAGUGGACGUAUAGGGUGUGACGCCUGCCCGGUGCCGGAAGGUUAAUUGAUGGGGUUAGCGCAAGCGAAGCUCUUGAUCGAAGCCCCGGUAAACGGCGGCCGUAACUAUAACGGUCCUAAGGUAGCGAAAUUCCUUGUCGGGUAAGUUCCGACCUGCACGAAUGGCGUAACGAUGGCGGCGCUGUCUCCACCCGAGACUCAGUGAAAUUGAAAUCGCUGUGAAGAUGCAGUGUAUCCGCGGCUAGACGGAAAGACCCCGUGAACCUUUACUGUAGCUUUGCACUGGACUUUGAGCCUGCUUGUGUAGGAUAGGUGGGAGGCUUUGAAGCGUGGACGCCAGUUCGCGUGGAGCCAUCCUUGAAAUACCACCCUGGCAUGCUUGAGGUUCUAACUCUGGUCCGUAAUCCGGAUCGAGGACAGUGUAUGGUGGGCAGUUUGACUGGGGCGGUCUCCUCCUAAAGAGUAACGGAGGAGUACGAAGGUGCGCUCAGACCGGUCGGAAAUCGGUCGUAGAGUAUAAAGGCAAAAGCGCGCUUGACUGCGAGACAGACACGUCGAGCAGGUACGAAAGUAGGUCUUAGUGAUCCGGUGGUUCUGUAUGGAAGGGCCAUCGCUCAACGGAUAAAAGGUACUCCGGGGAUAACAGGCUGAUACCGCCCAAGAGUUCAUAUCGACGGCGGUGUUUGGCACCUCGAUGUCGGCUCAUCACAUCCUGGGGCUGAAGCCGGUCCCAAGGGUAUGGCUGUUCGCCAUUUAAAGUGGUACGCGAGCUGGGUUUAGAACGUCGUGAGACAGUUCGGUCCCUAUCUGCCGUGGACGUUUGAGAUUUGAGAGGGGCUGCUCCUAGUACGAGAGGACCGGAGUGGACGAACCUCUGGUGUUCCGGUUGUCACGCCAGUGGCAUUGCCGGGUAGCUAUGUUCGGAAAAGAUAACCGCUGAAAGCAUCUAAGCGGGAAACUUGCCUCAAGAUGAGAUCUCACUGGGAACUUGAUUCCCCUGAAGGGCCGUCGAAGACUACGACGUUGAUAGGCUGGGUGUGUAAGCGUUGUGAGGCGUUGAGCUAACCAGUACUAAUUGCCCGUGAGGCUUGACCAU